This is a long non-coding RNA of Solenopsis invicta (red fire ant), 429 nucleotides long. RefSeq lists it as uncharacterized. Lineage: Eukaryota; Metazoa; Arthropoda; Insecta; Hymenoptera; Formicidae. The transcript is spliced from 4 exons. The record is from RefSeq and is a predicted model, not a curated record.
AGGCGGACCAGGCAAACCAGGCGGACCGGGCGGACGCGGCGGAUCAGGAGAUGCAUGCAGCACGAAUCGGAACAGAAGCGAGCGGCGCGGCGGCGUCGCGACUCGCUUAAUAGAACGCGGCGUACGCAGAAAGGAUCAACUCUGGAACGAAUGGCGUUAUGAUUCAUUUAAUUAAGCAAACGAUUUGUCUAACAAUAAAUCGUAUAGUAUCGUAUGUACUAUAAUUCCAUUAUUGCACAUCGUGAGAAUAUAAUCUAAAGAGAUUUGGCAACUUGAAAAUAAAUCAGACUGAAAGAAGGUAUCGGGUCUCAUUGUCAGUGGAGCAACUUUGCGAUUCAUCGUAGCGACUUGUCUGAUAAUUUUACUGUUGCGCAUCGAUCGGUGAGUGAUAAAACAAUUUGUAAAUGAGAUAACAAAAUUGAAAUAUAG